Molecule: ribosomal RNA, 442 nt
Filed under: uncultured Bacillota bacterium
Lineage: Bacteria; Bacillati; Bacillota
Description: bacterial SSU rRNA
Rfam family: Bacterial small subunit ribosomal RNA
Source: RNAcentral
GGGCCCGCACAAGCGGUGGAGCAUGUGGUUUAAUUCGAAGCAACGCGAAGAACCUUACCAAGGCUUGACAUGGGAACGACCGGAUAAGAGAUUAUCCUUUCCUUCGGGACGUUCUACACAGGUGGUGCAUGGUUGUCGUCAGCUCGUGUCGUGAGAUGUUGGGUUAAGUCCCGCAACGAGCGCAACCCUUAUUUUUAGUAGCCAGCGCGUAGAGGCGGGCACACUAGAGAGACUGCCGCGGAUAACGCGGAGGAAGGCGGGGACGACGUCAAAUCAUCAUGCCCCUUAUGUCUUGGGCAACACACGUGCUACAAUGGCUCGAACAAAGUGAAGCAAAGCAGCGAUGUGGAGCAAAACACAAAAACGAGUCCCAGUUCGGAUCGUAGUCUGCAACCCGACUACGUGAAGUUGGAAUCGCUAGUAAUCGCGAAUCAGCAUGUCG